UGGGGAAUUUUGGACAAUGGGCGAAAGCCUGAUCCAGCAAUGCCGCGUGCAGGAUGAAGGCCUUCGGGUUGUAAACUGCUUUUGUACGGAACGAAACGGUCCUUUCUAAUACAGAGGGCUAAUGACGGUACCGUAAGAAUAAGCACCGGCUAACUACGUGCCAGCAGCCGCGGUAAUACGUAGGGUGCAAGCGUUAAUCGGAAUUACUGGGCGUAAAGCGUGCGCAGGCGGUUAUGUAAGACAGUUGUGAAAUCCCCGGGCUCAACCUGGGAAUUGCAUCUGUGACUGCAUAGCUAGAGUACGGUAGAGGGGGAUGGAAUUCCGCGUGUAGCAGUGAAAUGCGUAGAUAUGCGGAGGAACACCGAUGGCGAAGGCAAUCCCCUGGACCUGUACUGACGCUCAUGCACGAAAGCGUGGGGAGCAAACAGG
Molecule: ribosomal RNA, 429 nt
Filed under: uncultured bacterium
Lineage: Bacteria
Description: bacterial SSU rRNA
Rfam family: Bacterial small subunit ribosomal RNA
Source: RNAcentral